AUUCUAUCCCUGUGCUCAAGUUCUUCAGGAGCACCUCACUGUCUCCCUCUGCCCACCCACCUGCACCUGACAGCUGUGGGCUGUGCUCUCAGGGAGGCACCGUCAGAUGCUACCAGACUACAGAGGAGAGCACCCUCAAUCCUGACUGAAGGUUUGGGAAAAGGCUGCUCAGAAGAGGUGAUACUUGAUAUGGGCCCUGGAGGAGGAGAAGCAGUUUGAGAAGACAGCAGUGAGAGAUGGCAUCCGGGCAGGCGAGAAAUGUCCUGAGCACCAAGGGUACAGUCAGAAAUGAUGAAUCCAGAAAUGAUGCCCUCCAGAACUUCUGGUGAGGAAGGCACUCAGGAAAAUGCAGCACCCUAUGGAGGCCCAGAAAGGAGGGCAUUCAGGAAGAACACAGUCUGAUGGUGUCAAGUGCAGCGGAGGCUAAGAGCCUCAGUGCCUCCUUCAGAGAUGCGGUGGAUAUUAGCUUCUGUUGUAUCCUUCAUACAGAACCUGGUGCUGAGAGACAGCUUCUUCUUUUUUUUUUUUUCUUUAAACUUUUCUUAAGACUAGUCAAGUACAGUAUCAAGAAGACGGGAAAGAGUAGAACAAGGAAUUGGAUCCGUAACUGACUGUGAACAAUCAAUUGAGGUAACUCAUUACCUUUGAACCAACCUGGGAGGCAGCCUUGUGACUCACCUCAAUCCUCAAUCUUCUCAGCUAGUUCACUUUGGCCUGGCUCAGGGGCUGACCUAGAAUGAUCCUGUCCAGAAGGACCCUGGAUGUUCUUAGAGACACAGACUGCUAGGGCUGGCAGGGACUUUUCAUCCAAUUCCUCUGUGACAGAGGAGGAAGUGGAGGUGCAGAAGGAGAGGUGAGCUGCCUGUGGUCCUUCAGCUUACUAAUGGCAGUGUUAGGACUGGACCUGAGGGCUCUUCCCUCCAGUCCGGCGCUAUUUAUUCCAUGACAGUGCCUCUCAAACUGUGUUCUCACAAGCAGCUAGUGCUCAGGCAGCUGGACUGAGGCCCUGCCUGCCAAAUCAAAUAUUGGAGGUCUUUCUCCAAUGUGCAGAAAAAAAAAGUAAUUAAUGGGUUAAGUUUCCUUAGGGUUAAAUUAUUUUUCCAUUAAUGCUUCUUAAACCAUUGUCACCUGCUACCAAUUGUCUACUAGCCAAUGCAUGCAGGCAACAAAACAAAAGGAUAAGCCACAAGUAAAUAAGAACAAGAACAACCAAAGCCUUGGAAACACACCAUCAUUCUUAAGUUAAAGGCUUAAAAAAAAAAUAGAGGAAGACUGCUAUGACUGUGGACUUUCUAUUGCAUUCACAUAAUAAAAUCAUGCGACAUUGUUUUGAAUUCAAA
Molecule: long non-coding RNA, 1340 nt
Filed under: Homo sapiens (human)
Lineage: Eukaryota; Metazoa; Chordata; Mammalia; Primates; Hominidae
Description: uncharacterized LOC100271832, transcript variant 2 (LOC100271832)
Source: RNAcentral